RNAcentral lists this ribosomal RNA (505 nucleotides) under uncultured glomeraceous AM fungus. RNAcentral's name for it is "SSU rRNA". It matches the Rfam family "Eukaryotic small subunit ribosomal RNA", at positions 590 to 1098 of the family's 1831-position model. Lineage: Eukaryota; Fungi; Glomeromycota; Glomeromycetes; Glomerales; Glomeraceae. The record is from RNAcentral.
UCCAAUAGCGUAUAUUAAAGUUGUUGCAGUUAAAAAGCUCGUAGUUGAAUUUCGGGAUCAGUACGUUGGUCAUGCCUUGGUAUGUACUGGUGUAACUGAUUCCUCCCUUCUGACGAACCGUCAUGCCAUUCACUUGGUGUGGCGGGAAAUCAGGACUGUUACUUUGAAAAAAUUAGAGUGUUUAAAGCAGGCUCGCGCUUGAAUACAUUAGCAUGGAAUAAUGAAAUAGGACGUUAAUCCUAUUUUGUUGGUUUCUAGGAUCGACGUAAUGAUUAAUAGGGAUAGUUGGGGGCAUUAGUAUUCAAUUGUCAGAGGUGUAAUUCUUGGAUUUAUUGAAGACUAACUACUGCGAAAGCAUUUGCCAAGGAUGUUUUCAUUAAUCAAGAACGAAAGUUAGGGGAUCGAAGACGAUCAGAUACCGUCGUAGUCUUAACCAUAAACUAUGCCGAUUAGGGAUCGGAUGAUGUUAAUUUUUUAAUGACUCAUUCGGCGCCUUACGGGAAAC